UAAUCUGGAAGUGGAGCUGGGAGAAGUGGACAGAAUGGAUGUUUUAAACACAGUUAGUGCAUCAAAGAAGAAGAGAUGCAAGCAAAUAGGGAGCGAACGAGACAUGUUUGAAACAAAAAAGUUUAAGAACAAAGCCAAAUACAAGUAUUGCUAUUGCAAAAAGGUUUGAAAAAUUAUGAUUCGUUUUUUAAGAAUAAACGUGUACUUUUGAUCAUAAUAUACUAUCAU
Molecule: long non-coding RNA, 228 nt
Organism: Xenia sp. Carnegie-2017
Lineage: Eukaryota; Metazoa; Cnidaria; Anthozoa; Malacalcyonacea; Xeniidae
Exons: 3
Source: RefSeq, a predicted model, not a curated record